This 171-nucleotide ribosomal RNA is filed under the name uncultured Gammaproteobacteria bacterium. RNAcentral's name for it is "partial 16S ribosomal RNA". It matches the Rfam family "Bacterial small subunit ribosomal RNA", at positions 35 to 213 of the family's 1533-position model. The record is from RNAcentral. Lineage: Bacteria; Pseudomonadati; Pseudomonadota; Gammaproteobacteria.
GCUGGCGGCAUGCCUAACACAUGCAAGUCGAACGGCAGCACGGGAGCUUGCUCCUGGUGGCGAGUGGCGGACGGGUGAGUAAUGCAUAGGAAUCUGCCUAGUAGUGGGGGACAACCUGGGGAAACUCAGGCUAAUACCGCAUAAGCCCUACGGGGGAAAGUGGGGGAUCUU